RNAcentral lists this long non-coding RNA (608 nucleotides) under Nicotiana benthamiana. Its description in RNAcentral is "long non-coding RNA (NBEN_LNC035227)". Lineage: Eukaryota; Viridiplantae; Streptophyta; Magnoliopsida; Solanales; Solanaceae. The record is from RNAcentral.
GAAUGAAUGGGGAUCCCUAUCAAUAUAAGAAGAAUAUCUAAUUAGAGUUUUCUCCCUUUCUCUCACUCAAUAGAUCUAUCUGGUCUUAUACGGCACAGUACAAUACGAGACGAUGGAAUGCAAUGGGAUAGAUGGUAGAGGGCUGCCUGCGCCCAAAAGCGAUGAUUCACUUGUCCCCUUGUCCAUAGGGACCUCGUGGCAUACAACCGAAACGACUCCCGCUAGAUAGCCGCCCCUUUCUCUCUUUUUACAGCCUCGUGGACGGACGAAAGAAGGGAAGUUACAGAACGGGGCAGUGAAGGCUCGCGAAGUAGACAGCAAGCAGCAAGCAAGAGCUUCUCAGCCCCCUAACCUUUCUCUUUUAUAAUAAUAUCGAAAUGACUCCCGCUAGAUAGCCGCCCUUUUUCUCUCUUUUUACAGCCUCGUGGACGGACGAAAGAAGGGAAGUUACAGAACGGGGCAGUGAAGGCUCGCGAAGUAGACAGCAAGCAGCAAGCAAGAGCUUCUCAGCCCCCUAACCUUUCUCUUUUAUAAUAAUACUUCUUUUUAGAAUCAGGUAAGCUUUGAAGCUGGCUGCUCUGCUAUACUAUACUAGUUGUAGGGCGCUA